GCUGCUCCGAUACAGUCGACCAGCUAGCUAUAAAUACAGUCUCUUUAUACAAGCUUCUUGGUGGUGGCCGUGGCAGCACUAUCAUCGGCGGCGCCCUUCUCAUUCUCAGGCCUGCCCCCGACCGUGCCGUCGUUGCCGGCGAGCUUCAUGUACUUGUCCUUCCUGGUGAGCUUGGUGCACCGGAACCCGAGCUCCUUGGCGAUGAGCGUCUGCACGUGGUUGGCCACGUCGACGGCGCUCCUCCCGCCGGCGCCGCACGUCUCCUCCGGCCGCAGCGGCGGCAGGAAGGUGACGUCGUACCCGGGGCGCGGGUUCAUGUAGAAGAAGUAAGGGUCGAGCCACUUCCACCCCCUCGCCG
This 358-nucleotide unclassified non-coding RNA is filed under the name Zea mays. RNAcentral describes it as "misc RNA Zm00001eb229810". The record is from RNAcentral. Lineage: Eukaryota; Viridiplantae; Streptophyta; Magnoliopsida; Poales; Poaceae.